Molecule: non-coding RNA, 809 nt
Filed under: Polyspathotermes sulcifrons
Lineage: Eukaryota; Metazoa; Arthropoda; Insecta; Blattodea; Termitidae
Source: RNAcentral
AAUGAGUUUUAUUCUUGCUUUUUCAUUCAAUUUAUGUUUGUUCUAUAUGUAAGUUUGUGCGUGGUUUUUGACAGUUCUAGAUGGGUUGUUAGGUAAUUUUUGUUCUCAUUAGUUAUUAUUGGUUGAUCAAGUAUUUUUGUAUCUAGUAAUAUAUUUUAGUUUCGGUUAAAUUUUGUGCCAGCAGCCGCGGUUAUACCUUGGAGGCGUUUGAAUGUGUUUGGCUUAUUGUAGUUGUAUUGUUUAUUUAGUUGAUGUUAUUUGAUUUAGUUUGUUGGGUGAAAUCUUUAUUUUUUGUAUUUGUCUUUUGUAAAUUUGUAGGCUGUGAAAUUCCUUUUAUAAACUAGGAUUAGAUACCCUAUUAUUUUGGAAUGUUAAGUUUUAUGUGCUUGAGUAGUAUUAGUUAUGUUCUUGAAACUUAAAGAAUUUGGCGGUAUCUCAUUCCGUUCAGAGGAAUCUGUCUCGUUAUCGAUAGUCCGCGUUGGACCUUGCUUGGAUUGCUUGUGGUUUGUAUACCGCCGUUUAUUGAUUAUCUUUUUAGGGUUAAGUAAUUUUCUGGUUUCUCUAUUUUGAUUUAUUUCAGGUCAAGGUGCAGCUUGUUUCUAAGUGUAUGAUGGAUUACAUUAUUAUUUGUUUUUGGAUUGUUGAUUUUAAUAUUAGCAUGAAAUUGGAUUUGGUUGUAAUAAUUUGUAGAUUGUUUUUAUGAUAUCGGUUUUGGGAUAUGUACACAUCGCCCGUCGCUCUCGUUCAGAAUUCAUUAAUGAGAUAAGUCGUAACAAAGUGGUUGUACCGGAAGGUGCAGCUGGAUUGAG